UACAUAGGUCUCAAGCGUUGUUCGGAUUCAUUGGGCGUAAAGGGUGUGUAGGUGGCGCGCUAAGUCGGGUGUGAAAUUUCGGAGCUUAACUCCGAAACUGCAUUCGAUACUGGCGUGCUUGAGGACUGGAGAGGAGACUGGAAUUCAUGGUGUAGCAGUGAAAUGCGUAGAGAUCAUGAGGAAGACCAGUGGCGAAGGCGGGUCUCUGGACAGUUCCUGACACUGAGACACGAAGGAUAGGGGAGCAAACGGG
Molecule: ribosomal RNA, 253 nt
Filed under: uncultured bacterium
Lineage: Bacteria
Description: partial 16S ribosomal RNA
Rfam family: Bacterial small subunit ribosomal RNA
Source: RNAcentral